RNAcentral lists this ribosomal RNA (492 nucleotides) under uncultured bacterium. Its description in RNAcentral is "partial 16S ribosomal RNA". It matches the Rfam family "Bacterial small subunit ribosomal RNA", at positions 29 to 507 of the family's 1533-position model. The record is from RNAcentral.
AGUGAACGCUGGCGGUAGGCCUAACACAUGCAAGUCGAACGGCAGCACAGUAAGAGCUUGCUCUUACGGGUGGCGAGUGGCGGACGGGUGAGGAAUACAUCGGAAUCUACUUUUUCGUGGGGGAUAACGUAGGGAAACUUACGCUAAUACCGCAUACGACCUACGGGUGAAAGCAGGGGAUCUUCGGACCUUGCGCGAUUGAAUGAGCCGAUGUCGGAUUAGCUAGUUGGCGGGGUAAAGGCCCACCAAGGCGACGAUCCGUAGCUGGUGUGAGAGGAUGGUCGGCCACACUGGAACUGAGACACGGUCCAGACUCCUACGGGAGGCAGCAGUGGGGAAUAUUGGACAAUGGGCGCAAGCCUGAUCCAGCCAUACCGCGUGGGUGGAGAAGGCCUUCGGGUUGUAAAGCCCUUUUGUUGGGAAAGAAAAGCAGCAGGUUAAUACCCAGCUGUUCUGACGGUACCCAAAGAAUAAGCACCGGCUAACUUCGUG